AGGAGGAACAACCGCAGUUGCAGCGGCCAGCUCUGGAGCCCUGGAGUCAGCUCCCGCAGUAACUCCGGCGGAGCUCUCGGUCUGCAGGGCCUGGAGGCUCCGGGGCGGG
Canis lupus familiaris (dog) is the source of this 109-nucleotide non-coding RNA. The record is from Rfam. NCBI's taxonomy places the organism in Eukaryota, Metazoa, Chordata, Mammalia, Carnivora, Canidae.